UGCCAGCCGCCGCGGUAAUACGGAGGGUGCAAGCGUUAUCCGGAUUUAUUGGGUUUAAAGGGUGCGUAGGCGGAAUAAUAAGUCAGUGGUGAAAUCCUGCGGCUCAACCGUAGAACUGCCAUUGAUACUAUUAUUCUUGAAUAUAGUUGAGGUAGGCGGAAUGUGUAAUGUAGCGGUGAAAUGCUUAGAUAUUACACAGAACACCGAUUGCGAAGGCAGCUUGCUAGGCCAUAACUGACACUGAGGAGCGAAAGCGUGGGGAGCAAACAGGAUUAGAUA
RNAcentral lists this ribosomal RNA (279 nucleotides) under uncultured bacterium. Its description in RNAcentral is "partial 16S ribosomal RNA". It matches the Rfam family "Bacterial small subunit ribosomal RNA", at positions 506 to 784 of the family's 1533-position model. The record is from RNAcentral.